This is an RNA transcript of Carya illinoinensis, 2353 nucleotides long. RefSeq lists it as uncharacterized. The record is from RefSeq and is a predicted model, not a curated record. Lineage: Eukaryota; Viridiplantae; Streptophyta; Magnoliopsida; Fagales; Juglandaceae. The transcript has 8 exons.
AGAACUUCGACUUGGGAAUUGAAGUUCAGAAAGGAAUCGAAGUUGCAGAAGGAAUCAAAGUUGACCGCAACGGUAACAGACUUGCAGCGCCUAUAUUUACAUUUUGAGAAAUUUUUAUUCUUCUUUAGUUUCGUUUUAAAUACUGCUUUGAUGUUUAUUUACAUUCAUAUUUUAGAAUUUAAUUUCAUGAACAAGCCUAGCUAAAUUUUCAACUAAGGUUGAGAAUGAAACCUCCUUGAAAAUUAGUAAUAUUAUUUAUGAGAUUGAUUUUUACCAAUUAUCGAUGCUUUCAAUUGAGAGGGAUAAAAUUCUUGACAUAGUUCAAUCAUGUUUUUAUCAUGAUUUAGAAUAAUCUUAAUCAGCUGAUAGCUUUAUUCAUAAUUUUGUUAAAAAUAAAAACAAUUGAAAUAGAAAUUGAUCAUAAUGCGUCCAUGUGUUUUGGGCAUCAGAUCGUGGCAUUGUGUUUUGUGUUUUGGGCAUCAGAAUAAGAAUAAACGGCCAGCAGAUUAGAACUGAUCAUGAGAUGCGGCUACAGACUUCAAUGGACCCACAUGAUCGUGUAUGGCUACAAUACAUAGUUGUAAAUUCUAUUGAUCAUGAGAUUCUGUCAAGAAGUUACAGGGAGGGGAACAAUAAUAUGAGGUUUACAUUUGAAAGUGAUUCAGAGAAAGCAAUUUUCAAAAGUGCUGGAGUCCAUCUAAUAUACGGGAAUGACAAUUUCAUUGAUCCUAUUCAACUUUCAAAGAGAUAUGCGCGAGAUGAUGGUGAGCAUGACUUGGAACCCACAACAGAAGAGGCGGGGAUCUUCAACGAGCUCUAGCAUUAUGGAAAUUCAAGGAUGCUAAUGAUGAUUUAAUUAAUGAAGAUUUGGAUUUAGAACUUCCACUUGGCAAUUGAAGUUCAGAAAGGAAUCAAAGUUGCUGAAGGAAUCAACGUUGGGAAAGAACUAUAACCAUAAUAGACUUUAACGCAAUCUCCUCGACCACUUUACUGGAAUUUCAGUACAUAUAUAUACACCAGGAAUAUUGAAACAUGUUCAAAGGCCUCCAAGACUAUGUUUUUAGACCAAGACCAGAUAUUUAAAGGGAAAUUUAAGUGCCUUGAAAACUAUGUUUUACAGACCUAAUGACCAUAAGAAAGCUUUCUAUGAGACUAUCACGUCUUCCCAUAUUGGAAAGGAUGCUGGAUGAGUUGUUAUACUAGGCAAUAGAAGGUCACCAUUAAAAGGCUGAAGUUAAUGACCAAAUUUAUGUGUGGAGGGAAGAAAGAUGAGGAUGCAUUGCUACAUCUAAUGGAUGCAACUGCAGACAUGCCACUGUUCCUGCAGCACCCCCUCCCUGUCAUGUUGAUGUAGGAUAUGCAAAAAUCAGAAACCCUCCUAAAGUUCAAGGCCGCCCUUCAACCCAAUGACGCAUUAAUCAACUGGAAUGGCUCAACAACACCAUGUUCUGAGCAUAACGUAAAUUGGGUUGGUGUUCAUUGUGGGAAAGGAAAAGUUAAGGGUUUACGACUCGAGAAUAUGAGACUAAAUGGUUUCAUUGAUGUGGACUUGCUCGCGUUACUGUCGAAUUCGAGAACUAUAAGCUUUAUGAAGAAUAACUUUAACCUUGCCAAAGCUUUUGGAGUUAAGGCUUGAGGAUAACCAUUUUGAUGGUUAGAUACCAGAUUUUCAACAGAAGUCAUUGAGUGCUUUUAACGUAUCAGGCAAUGAAUUGGGAUGGAUUCAAGCUCCUUCUCUGUUCAAGGGAGCUCAGAUCCUUUAAAGUAGCUUUUACCUGUUACUUCAAUAUUUCUGAUGAUGCAUGGAUUGAGGCUGCUGCAAAUCUUCCAUUAUUGAAGGAGCUUGAAAUUUCAAACCGUCCUUGGAGCAUAGAAAAGUUUCUGGAAGCUGUGGACUACAAUUGUCCCCAUUUGAAAUCAUGAUGCAUUGAAAAGUCUGGGAAUUUAUUAUUGGGGAGCAGAUUGUUCCAAUGGGAGUAAUCAUUAGGCUGUUGCUAUUUUAGAGAACCUGCCCGGAUUAGUCAACCUCUUGCUUUAUGAAAAUACGCUGACAGAUGAUGCAUGUAGUUAAUUAUCAGUUGUAUCCACUUCACAGGUUUCUUACUUAGAUGAAGGUUGCACAUGAUGCAUAUUGGUAGUUUUAUUUUUGAGCAAGUCCAACCUGGUCAACAGUCACCCAAAUCCACAAUCUUGGGGUCAAAAGGAAGGAAGCAACUUUUCUGUUAGAGAUAAAGUCAUACUAGGCUUUUUGAGACCUGUAAUAUUUGUUGUAAUAUUUGUUUACUUGUGUUUCAUUUGCUGUAAUAUUUGCAAGUUAUGAACUUAAUUCAAGAACUAUUGUUUCUCAUUUCAA